Molecule: ribosomal RNA, 723 nt
Filed under: Clostridium sp. enrichment culture
Lineage: Bacteria; Bacillati; Bacillota; Clostridia; Eubacteriales; Clostridiaceae
Description: bacterial SSU rRNA
Rfam family: Bacterial small subunit ribosomal RNA
Source: RNAcentral
AGUUUGAUCCUGGCUCAGGACGAACGCUGGCGGCGUGCUUAACACAUGCAAGUCGAGCGAUGAAAUUCCUUCGGGGAUUGAUUAGCGGCGGACGGGUGAGUAACACGUGGGUAACCUGCCUCAUAGAGGGGAAUAGCCUUCCGAAAGGAAGAUUAAUACCGCAUAAGAUUGUAGUAUCGCAUGAUAUAGCAAUUAAAGGAGCAAUCCGCUAUGAGAUGGACCCGCGUCGCAUUAGCUAGUUGGUGAGGUAACGGCUCACCAAGGCGACGAUGCGUAGCCGACCUGAGAGGGUGAUCGGCCACAUUGGGACUGAGACACGGCCCAGACUCCUACGGGAGGCAGCAGUGGGGAAUAUUGCACAAUGGGGGAAACCCUGAUGCAGCAACGCCGCGUGAGUGAUGACGGUCUUCGGAUUGUAAAGCUCUGUCUUCAGGGACGAUAAUGACGGUACCUGAGGAGGAAGCCACGGCUAACUACGUGCCAGCAGCCGCGGUAAUACGUAGGUGGCAAGCGUUGUCCGGAUUUACUGGGCGUAAAGGGAGCGUAGGUGGAUAUUUAAGUGGGAUGUGAAAUACUCGGGCUUAACCUGGGUGCUGCAUUCCAAACUGGAUAUCUAGAGUGCAGGAGAGGAAAGUAGAAUUCCUAGUGUAGCGGUGAAAUGCGUAGAGAUUAGGAAGAAUACCAGUGGCGAAGGCGACUUUCUGGACUGUAACUGACACUGAG